UUAAGCGACUAAGCGUACACGGUGGAUGCCCUGGCAGUCAGAGGCGAUGAAGGACGUGCUAAUCUGCGAUAAGCGUCGGUAAGGUGAUAUGAACCGUUAUAACCGGCGAUUUCCGAAUGGGGAAACCCAGUGUGUUUCGACACACUAUCAUUAACUGAAUCCAUAGGUUAAUGAGGCGAACCGGGGGAACUGAAACAUCUAAGUACCCCGAGGAAAAGAAAUCAACCGAGAUUCCCCCAGUAGCGGCGAGCGAACGGGGAGCAGCCCAGAGCCUGAAUCAGUGUGUGUGUUAGUGGAAGCGUCUGGAAAGGCGCGCGAUACAGGGUGACAGCCCCGUACACAAAAAUGCACAUGCUGUGAGCUCGAUGAGUAGGGCGGGACACGUGGUAUCCUGUCUGAAUAUGGGGGGACCAUCCUCCAAGGCUAAAUACUCCUGACUGACCGAUAGUGAACCAGUACCGUGAGGGAAAGGCGAAAAGAACCCCGGCGAGGGGAGUGAAAAAGAACCUGAAACCGUGUACGUACAAGCAGUGGGAGCACGCUUAGGCGUGUGACUGCGUACCUUUUGUAUAAUGGGUCAGCGACUUAUAUUCUGUAGCAAGGUUAACCGAAUAGGGGAGCCGAAGGGAAACCGAGUCUUAACUGGGCGUUAAGUUGCAGGGUAUAGACCCGAAACCCGGUGAUCUAGCCAUGGGCAGGUUGAAGGUUGGGUAACACUAACUGGAGGACCGAACCGACUAAUGUUGAAAAAUUAGCGGAUGACUUGUGGCUGGGGGUGAAAGGCCAAUCAAACCGGGAGAUAGCUGGUUCUCCCCGAAAGCUAUUUAGGUAGCGCCUCGUGAAUUCAUCUCCGGGGGUAGAGCACUGUUUCGGCAAGGGGGUCAUCCCGACUUACCAACCCGAUGCAAACUGCGAAUACCGGAGAAUGUUAUCACGGGAGACACACGGCGGGGUGCUAACGUCCGUCGUGAAGAGGGAAACAACCCAGACCGCCAGCUAAGGUCCCAAAGUCAUGGUUAAGUGGGAAACGAUGUGGGAAGGCCCAGACAGCCAGGAUGUUGGCUUAGAAGCAGCCAUCAUUUAAAGAAAGCGUAAUAGCUCACUGGUCGAGUCGGCCUGCGCGGAAGAUGUAACGGGGCUAAACCAUGCACCGAAGCUGCGGCAGCGACACUAUGUGUUGUUGGGUAGGGGAGCGUUCUGUAAGCCUGUGAAGGUGUACUGUGAGGUAUGCUGGAGGUAUCAGAAGUGCGAAUGCUGACAUAAGUAACGAUAAAGCGGGUGAAAAGCCCGCUCGCCGGAAGACCAAGGGUUCCUGUCCAACGUUAAUCGGGGCAGGGUGAGUCGACCCCUAAGGCGAGGCCGAAAGGCGUAGUCGAUGGGAAACAGGUUAAUAUUCCUGUACUUGGUGUUACUGCGAAGGGGGGACGGAGAAGGCUAUGUUGGCCGGGCGACGGUUGUCCCGGUUUAAGCGUGUAGGCUGGUUUUCCAGGCAAAUCCGGAAAAUCAAGGCUGAGGCGUGAUGACGAGGCACUACGGUGCUGAAGCAACAAAUGCCCUGCUUCCAGGAAAAGCCUCUAAGCAUCAGGUAACAUCAAAUCGUACCCCAAACCGACACAGGUGGUCAGGUAGAGAAUACCAAGGCGCUUGAGAGAACUCGGGUGAAGGAACUAGGCAAAAUGGUGCCGUAACUUCGGGAGAAGGCACGCUGAUAUGUAGGUGAAGCGACUUGCUCGUGGAGCUGAAAUCAGUCGAAGAUACCAGCUGGCUGCAACUGUUUAUUAAAAACACAGCACUGUGCAAACACGAAAGUGGACGUAUACGGUGUGACGCCUGCCCGGUGCCGGAAGGUUAAUUGAUGGGGUCAGCGCAAGCGAAGCUCUUGAUCGAAGCCCCGGUAAACGGCGGCCGUAACUAUAACGGUCCUAAGGUAGCGAAAUUCCUUGUCGGGUAAGUUCCGACCUGCACGAAUGGCGUAAUGAUGGCCAGGCUGUCUCCACCCGAGACUCAGUGAAAUUGAACUCGCUGUGAAGAUGCAGUGUACCCGCGGCAAGACGGAAAGACCCCGUGAACCUUUACUAUAGCUUGACACUGAACAUUGAGCCUUGAUGUGUAGGAUAGGUGGGAGGCUUUGAAGUGUGGACGCCAGUCUGCAUGGAGCCGACCUUGAAAUACCACCCUUUAAUGUUUGAUGUUCUAACGUGGACCCGUGAUCCGGGUUGCGGACAGUGUCUGGUGGGUAGUUUGACUGGGGCGGUCUCCUCCUAAAGAGUAACGGAGGAGCACGAAGGUUGGCUAAUCCUGGUCGGACAUCAGGAGGUUAGUGCAAUGGCAUAAGCCAGCUUGACUGCGAGCGUGACGGCGCGAGCAGGUGCGAAAGCAGGUCAUAGUGAUCCGGUGGUUCUGAAUGGAAGGGCCAUCGCUCAACGGAUAAAAGGUACUCCGGGGAUAACAGGCUGAUACCGCCCAAGAGUUCAUAUCGACGGCGGUGUUUGGCACCUCGAUGUCGGCUCAUCACAUCCUGGGGCUGAAGUAGGUCCCAAGGGUAUGGCUGUUCGCCAUUUAAAGUGGUACGCGAGCUGGGUUUAGAACGUCGUGAGACAGUUCGGUCCCUAUCUGCCGUGGGCGCUGGAGAACUGAGGGGGGCUGCUCCUAGUACGAGAGGACCGGAGUGGACGCAUCACUGGUGUUCGGGUUGUCAUGCCAAUGGCACUGCCCGGUAGCUAAAUGCGGAAGAGAUAAGUGCUGAAAGCAUCUAAGCACGAAACUUGCCCCGAGAUGAGUUCUCCCUGACUCCUUGAGAGUCCUGAAGGAACGUUGAAGACGACGACGUUGAUAGGCCGGGUGUGUAAGCGCAGCGAUGCGUUGAGCUAACCGGUACUAAUGAACCGUGAGGCUUAACCUU
Molecule: ribosomal RNA, 2902 nt
Filed under: Escherichia coli
Lineage: Bacteria; Pseudomonadati; Pseudomonadota; Gammaproteobacteria; Enterobacterales; Enterobacteriaceae
Description: 23S ribosomal RNA
Rfam family: Bacterial large subunit ribosomal RNA
Source: RNAcentral